UCCAAUCGCAGCAACCUCCAAGUUGGUGAGACCUGGAAAUCAUUAUUAUUUACUACAUAAUUUAUUUUUAUGUCGUCGAUAUAAUUAUAAAUUUUAUGGUAAAUAAUAUGAGCUAAUUGGCUGCGUUCUCUUUUUUAUUUUUUUAUUUUUUUUUACUUGUUAUGCGUGUUAUAAAGUAUAAUUUUUAGUUUGAUUUUUAAUUUAUUAUGAUGUUUCAUGUAAUAGUUAUCUUUUUUUUUAGGCGUCAAAAGAAGUUCAACAUUUUUGAGAAAUUAUUUUUCAAUUAUAACUUGAGAAAUAUACACUCUUAUUUCUCACUUCUAAAAUGAAAACUAUAUUUCGAUACUGACUUGUAAACAAUUUUUAUUUUUUUAUGUGUUAUAAUAUUGAAAAAUAUUGGGAAAAUCAUUGAAGAAACAUCUAUUUAAUUACAAUCGUGACAAGGUUUCACCUCCUUCUCUUACAUAAAUUAUCCAUCUCAAUAAUCUGUACAGGAAUUACAAAUAUCAACUAUCCUUUCCUUCUUUCGAAAUCCAUGACUGCAUUAGCCCCGUCAAUCCUUGCUGAUUCACAUUCCGCAUCUAGCCACAUUUGACUCGAUCUCGAAUACGUCCAUCUGAGGCUGCAUUAAACGUGGUAGGAAGUUGGCUCGCGGACGUUAUCCGGUCCGCGAUCAGAUUUAUUCGACGUGGGCAACGUCGUGGUAUGGCACGAUUUGCGGUGCGGGUUGAGGGGGGAGGUGAGUUGGGAUUUAUAUUCAACGCACGGUCAGAAGCCGUGCAUCAUCGGCUUAAGUCAACGAGCCAAUCGCAAACAAGGCGGCCGCGCCCGAUAGCGCGCCUAUGCAGAUCGCCUCGAUUCACCUGCCACCUACGCGUAUACUAUUCUAAUCUAGAAACCUUUAUGCGCUUUUACGUUUACGUGACAUACGCGUCGUUUUGUAAGUUUGCAAGUUUUUUCUCUUGCGAUAGAAUUCUGUUUAUACAUAAAAUUAGAGAAAUGAGUUGUUCCUUCGUUUGAUUCUUCUAACUUCAUUUUUUUCUUUUUUUUUUUUUUUUGUAAAAUGUAUAAACGAUAACAUGUAUUGUGAAUAUUUGAUAAUAAUAAUAAGUUAACUGAUUAUUUUUAAUUGUGUUAUAUUUUGGAUGAUUAUAGGUUUAAUCGAAUUAAAAGUUUUAUUCGUAUUAUACGAAAUGGAAUUUGUGUAAAUCAAGUUCUGUAUCCAAUUUCGUAGCAUUGUUCUUGUUCAAUUUACGAACGAUACGAACGAACAAUUCGUGUACCUGUGAAUGUUAUAAUUGGUUUCUAUGUUUCGUCAGACGCAUCAAUAAUGAAGUUAUCAAUAACAGACCAAUUGAGGAUAUAGGCAAAAUUUGAAUCGUGAUUUUGAAUUGUUAUUUGAAUAUUUAAAAAAAAAAUUUUUUGAUAAUACUUAUGAUGCGUGUGUAAUAAUUGCACUCAAUUUAAAAUAAAAUGGACGUUUAAAUAAUCUGUAACAUAGAUUUGGAAAUUUCACGUUUUGGAAAUAAUAAAUAUUAAUAAGCAAAUGUUUUUCUGGUUAUGAAUGCCUAUUGAAAAAUCUUCAUUGUAGUAAAGUUUCGGUACAUUUAACAUGAAUGGUGGUUAAACGGCCGACAACUUUUAUUCUUGAAUUUCGUUCUUGUUCGUCUCGAGAGAGGGAAGUUGCGAUUGGAGCAGAUGGUUUUUGAGUUGGACUGAAUUCAAAUUAUGUAAGUAAUGUUUAUGAGUGCGAAUAAAUUCGAGGAUAAAGUAUUCCAGUGAAUUGUUUUUUGUAAAUAGUAAUUAAUUUCUAAAGUAUUGUAUUCAUAAUAGCACGAAAUAUUAAGAGAACUUAUGUAUUAGUUCUUUGAAAAUAAUUGUCCAAUUUAUAUUUCUUAAUGUAAUUCACGAUUAUUAUCUACCUUUAAAUUUGUCAAUUCUUAUUUUUUACAUCUUACUUUAUAUACAGAAUUCAAUUCACAAGAGUUUUAAUAAUGUUUCAUAAAAUAUUAAAAGAUAUUUUAAAACAUCAGUUUCAAGAUUAUACGCGCAUAAUUUUUAAAAAUAAUAGAAUUAAAUUAUUUUGAAUAUAAAAAAAAAAGACAUCAAUCUAAAUUCUGUGCAACAAGAUUAUGCAUUAAAGCUAGAUAAUCUACGUAAAAGCUCUAUUAAAAUUAGAAAUCUCAUACUAUCCCAUGUUAUCUUAAUUAUUUCAUAUAUACGUAUAAAACAUGCAUACUCUAUUAUAAUUCUCCGUGGCAACUUUUUUCUUUUUUUUUUUCUUUUAUAGAUAUCUAGUACGUGCCUCAAGUGCAAUAUCCUAUACGCACACGUGCAUCCGUAUAAGUAUACAUAUAUGAAUUUAUAUAUGUGCAUGCAUAUGCAUGCGUAUGCAUGGAUAUUUACGCGGUGGCCGGAUAUAUGUGUAUGAAUUUAUGUGGUGAUUCGUAUGUACGCGCGAAAUAGGUACAUAUGCUCCACUAUGCGAAUGUAUAUGGAUUCGUCGUAAAGGGAUUACGUGUUACACGGUUAUGUACGCAUAUGUAACGUUUUACACGUUUGUAUACGCGCACCAUACACAUAUCUCGAAAUCUUUCUAGUUUGUAUCUAGCUUUGCGUUAUAGAUUAAUACAAAUAAUCUGUUAAACUCGAUGUUUGAUCCUAUAAUGAUUUGAUUUUCAAGAUUUAUUGAAUUAAAUUUAAUAAAUUUAAUAGAAUUUAUUAAACUAAAAAAUAACAGCGAUAUAUUCCUUGUGAUUAAUAAGUAUACAAUUAAUUUGACAAAUAUUAUAUAAUAUAUUCAUUAAGUAAAAUCUUACAAUUGAUAAAAAUUUCCAAUAUUGUAGUCGUACGAUUGCCCUUCCCCCCUCCUCCAAUAUCAUAUCUAUUCCUCGCCACCAGUCUGAUAACAGAUAAGUAGCUGUCAAACCAUCCACCACGUCAUCGAUAUCCUCUCAUCGUCGAAAGGUUAGAAUCUUUCGACGCUUCAUCUUACUUUCUCCACCUUUUUCUUCCUCAUCCUUUCUCAGUCAGAAGAGUAGGAGGAGGAGGACACGACGAACGCGCCAACCCAUUUUCCAACGCGGCUAUUGUUCAGCGACUUUAUACACGCUCACGAGCGUGCAAAGCUUCAUUUUUUCCCCUCCCCUCCGCUUGUCUAGUCCACCACCCCUCCUUUUUGUCCACGUCUCUAUAUAUCCCAUUUUCGUUAUUUGUCCACCCUUUUCCCUCCUUCCUCUAUUCUUCGCCACUCUUAGCUCCUCUCCCCCUUUCUUUUCAACCUGUGUUCCCAACAUUGUUUCCACCGACCAUGCCCCUCUAUCCCUCCUUCGACUCGCGCCGGAAAAGGUGCCGUAACAUUUGUCGCGUGCCGUUUUAUUGGCGCCUCUUCCACAAAGCGCAACGAUUCCCCCCUCCCCCCCAUUUUUCUCUGUACUUGGCCUGCGAUUCAACUCGUGCAAUUUUUUUCUUCUUAUUCUCCCCUCUCUCUCUCUCUCUACCCAUUUUUCUUCUAUGAACGGUAAAGUGCUUCUUUUCUUUUAUUGGUUCAUUAUCCGGUGCGGUUUGUAAUUAUGCGCGCUGUGCUUAAUUAAGUAUACGUGGGGGUAAGAUAGUAUUGUUUACUAGGUAUGGACAGGAAAGUGUUGAUAAGAAUCGUGGAUAUUCGUAUUUUAUUAGUUUUUCCGAGAAUGGAUCUUUUUUUCCUUAAGGAUUACUUUUAGAAUUUUGAUUUAAUCGCGAAAUGUUUAACAAACUGUUAAUAUCUGUUAAUAAUUUAAAAAUCAAUUUUUUAUGGAGAAUUUUCCGAUAUAACUAUUAAAUUUAUCAAAAAUUAAAUAUUCCAUGUACAAUGUAGAAAAUUUUAUCAUAAGUUGGUUAAAUUUUCGUGGAAAGAAACUCGAAAGAUAAACUUAAAUUUCAAAGAGAGGGUUAGAAGAAAGAAACGCGGCAAAUUGAAUGGCAUAUCAAUAUCAGGAUCUUUUAGUUAGCAAUUUAAAAACGUUCUUAAAUAAAAAAUUAAAUUUGCAAAUUAAAUGCAUAUGCAUUUUAAAUACGCAUACAUUCGAAAAAUAUUUAAAUUUAGAAAUAUAUUGUUUUAUUUCUUCGAGAAAGAUAUUACGUGAACGAAAAUUCAAGGAUUUUUAACAUUAUUGCCAAGAAACAGUUGGAAUUCCUUCUCGCGUCUCUGCAUUCCUUUUUAUCUUUCUUUUUGUUUCAUCCUCCUAAGCUAGUUUAACCCUUCCAGUCCCAAUGGAUCCAUUUGUCGCUGCAAAAUUUAUACGUCUUCGCCAAAGAAUACUUGCACGCCAAAAUUCAAUUUCAGUAAACAUGAAGUAUAGCGAAGGAUCAACUUGCUGUCUUUCACCAUGAAUCUAAUAUAUCGCCAGAACUACGUGAUACGAUACGAAAUAAAUUAUUAAAAAUCUGGAAAAAUCGAUACGAGUCGUAUGUUCAAUUCUCUGAAAAUAUGAAAUAUUACUUUUACCGUAGUUAGAAAAUAAUUAUAAUUAUUUAUCGUCCUUGAUUUUCAUUAAAAAUAAUUAAUUCCGAUUCGAAACUUGAAAAUAUUCUAUUCAAUUGUAAGUUCAAUAAUUAAAAAAUAUUAAUUACGAAGAAAAAAAUAGUUUUUCUAAAUGAUUUAAUAUUUUUAAUAAUUAAUUAAUAAAAAUAUACAUAUAUAAUAUAUAAUCUUUAUUUUUAGUGAAAUAUUUUAAAAAAUAAGAUAGGUACAUCGUAGUACAAAUUCACAAUUUUUAAGUUUUUAACUAUUAUCUGUUUUUGUUUAUUCGUAAAUUGGAACAAAAGAUGACAAGACAAUUUUUAUACCGAUAUUACUUAGCGAGUGUUUCCCUUUGUGAAACGCGACGUACUUCCGGCUCGUUGGUCUUUUAUACAAGUUUCUCUGUUUGCAGGAAGGCUGCGUGAAUUAUCUGGAUCUUCCGAUAUUCUUUCUGAGAUUUGAACCCUUUGUAGCAAAAAUCGGACAAGGAAAUUUUUGUUUCCAUUGAUAUAAUGAGCGUGAGACGUGAUUGAUAUCUAUUAAAAAGAUACGGAAAAAAUUCUUUCAAAAUUAUUUUAUCGUGUAAUUUGAUUAGUUUGUUACUUUCGUUCCAUGAAUAUCGUGCAACAUCCCUGUAACUUCAACAAUGAAAAUAAAUACAAAAAAAAAUACAAAAAAUAGAACGGUAGAUUUACACAUUAUUCUGAAAAUGCGUACGUAAUAUGGUAAUAGCGAAAAAAAAUAACGCUGACGCGUCGUCUAUCGUGUCUGACCACUACACAUGUUCCAAGCUUGGGGUAGGUCGAUGAAGCCGUGCGAGAGGAUAGAGACGGGGAAACGUUAAAAAUUUCGCCUCUAUUUAGAACGACGAUAUCUCAUCAACGAUAAAUGAUAUCGAGAUGAAAUAAAAAAGGUUUUAAAGAGAAAGAUUUCUUGCUUCUUGUGGCAUCAAAUUUGAGGAGAAAGGAUGAACAGGUUCGGAAUAAUAAUCGUUUAAAGUUUUAAUAAUUUCAAUACAUGUUGUUAGCAAUGGAAGGGAUGAUUAAUUAAUUUUUAAUUAAUCGUUUAUUUAAAAGUACAAAGAAUUUUUCAGAGAGAUGAAAAAGAUGGUGAUAUUACAUUUUAUAUUUAAGAAAAAAUUCAUUUAUUGGACGCGUUUAAAAAUAUUAAUUUUAUUACGAUUAUUUGGAAAUUUAUUUUAUUGACAUGAAUAUACUAAUAAUUUUUGCAACAAAGAAUCUUUAUAGAAAUUAAAAAGGAAUAAUAAUGUUUGCUCCUCACGAUUGAGCGACCACUUUAAUACAGCAAAUGUCCACGUAAAUAUCCAACAGUUCAGAAAUAAAAAAAAAAAAAAGAAAAAGCAGGCAGGAUAUCAAUUGCCGUUCGCCUCUUUUUACACGUGUUCCCUAUCGAAAUUCGAUAGUUUCAUAAUUCACGAGAUCGUGCAGCACACGGGCAAAACGGGAGAGGGGGGAAACAAUUAGAAAUUAAAAACGGAUUUGCCACGGUAUCAUUCGGUAUUCAGUUCGUUUGAUGCAUCACGAGUGCUCCGUGAUGGCCGUGCCGCUUUGUGAUUCAGCCAAAUUAAUCCGAUUGUUCGUAAUUGUCGGUAAAAUAAAUUAAUCGAUCCAACGACGAUAAACUCUGUACGAGUCCUAAAACACUUCCGAUUCCUCGUAUUAUAUUUCCUAUAUUUUGCUUGCCAUACCAAAUUUCAGUAAUGAAAAUCUCUUAAAAAUCUAUUUAACUAUCAUAUAAAGCAUCAUAUCGGAUAAAGCUAAUGGAUUGUUUUUGAUUUUUUAAAUGUUUCUGGAAUGAAUGAAGGCAAUUCAAAAAUUAAUUCAAAAAGUAAUUUAAAAAAUUAUUUAAAAAGAUUUGUUUAUAUUACAUGAAAUUACUUUGGAACAGAGUUGAAUAAUUCUUUCGAAAUCCGGUUCACUAUAACUUAGGAAGGUUAGCAAGAUGGCGAUGCAGGUCAAUCUAAGUUGGAUCCAAUUGAAGCGAACCGUGUGUUCACGAAUUGCCUGUGCCAACGUGUCAUGGAUUUACGACACGUCUAUGAAGUGUACAGACACCAGAUCCUAAUAAUUCAUGUGGCUCCAGAAACGUAGACCAUCUGUUGCCCAUAAAGUGAUUACCUUGUUGCAAUUUUAAUUAAUGUGUCUUUAUGUGAGGAAUAUGAUUUCUCUGUAAUAAAUUAUUACAAUUAACUUAACGUACAGUUUCUAUUUGUGUUUUGUGUAAAAUUAAAGAUUAAGAGAUUAAAAAGUUUUAUUUUUAAAGACGAAGGAGUCUUAGAAAGAUAUUUAUUUUUCUUUUUUAAUCAUAUAAAUUGUAUACAAAAUUUUCUUGAAAUUUAAUUUUCAAAUAAUCAUCAGAGGAAAGAUUAACUAACAAAAUAAAAUUGAUAUUCAAAAAUAUAUUAUUAUUCAUAUAGAUAAGAGAUAAAGUAAAAGAAUACAAUUUGAAUAAUUUCUAUGUGUUAUUUUCUGACUAAUAUCGUGCAUUCAUAAAUCUAUAUUUCAUAUUCUGAAUUCUUAUUCAAACCACUGAUAUGUAAAUUCUUCCUAUUGUACCGAUUUCCCAUUUUCUUAGAACGAAAAUGACAAGUAUAAAAUAAAAACAAAAUGCGUUUCAAACGAAAAUUGUUAAAAACCUAAAUAUUAAAGAAAAAUAGAUACAUCUUCAAAUUCCAAUUACGAUUAUUUCGCGCGAGAUUGCUUAAAAUUAGAAUUCGGGAUAACACUUAAUUCGUUUUGGUAAUUUCAAGGAAUUGUCUCGUCCAAUAAUCUCUUAACCUCGUAUUAUACUCGAUAGGGAAACGGAAAGAAGCAAUAUAAAGUCCUAGAUAAACCUAAGCUCAUUCGAGAGGGUCAUUAAAUGGGCACGAUAAAGGCUUUAAAACCUUCUCUAUCUUCUUUCACCCUUUUUCCACUUUAAAUCAAAAGCUCCGCUUAAAAGCAAUCUUUUAAGUGUUUAAUCCACGGUACACACAAUUAUUGAAUGUCUUGCAGAAAGUAUAAUUUAAUUUGUUGCUUAAGAAGAAAAAAAGGAGAGGGGGAAAAAGGAUAGUAAUUGUAUUAUUUAAUUUAAUAUUCUUGAAAUUGAAGUUGGUAUUUCUAAUAAUAAUAAAUGUAAUUUUAUGAAAGGAUAAAUGUUUUUAAAAUCUAGAAAAUUUCUUUGCCAAUGUAUUUAUAUUUCAUAUUUAUUUGUUACAUUUUUUUUUCGUAUUUGAAAUUAAUUCUUUUAAUAUUAUUUUAUUCAAGUUGAUCAACUUAAUAAUUAUUUGCAAUAAUUUUUAAUAGAAAUGAAAAUUUACUGUAUCUCAAAAGUUUCUUUUUCUCUUUUUUUUUUACAAUAUAUCAUAAUUUUUUUUUUUUUUUCCCCCUUCUUCUAUCUAUUUUACAGUCAAAGUAUUUCAUUUCAUAUUUUUUGCAAUUAUCUAAAAAUGCGUAGAUUCUUUUCAUCCAUUAUCAUUGAUAUAUUUUAUAAAACAUAUAUAAUAAAUAAUUCCAGUUUUAAAGUGAUUUAAUUAGUGUGAUCAAUUUCACGUUUUAUACUUCUUAUACAGAUUCUCUCUUAUAAAAUAAAUCUUAAAACUAUUUAAUCAAAACUACUUCUCAACAAUUCUACUUCCAACACUUUUUACUUGAAAUCCAUCCAACCUCGAUCGAGCCUCCCAAUUGCAUUAUUAACAGCAAGUUCGUCCAAGUUUCAACCGUAAUUCCAACCGCAAAAUGAUUUAACUUCGGUUCAAGGUUAAAUUAAUUUCAAGAAAAACACGGGAAAACGGAUGAUAUCCUCGGUAAUAUUAAUUUAAACUUUAGCACACUGCGGCCAAGGAUGAGCACGACUAAUAAAAGUGUUCAGGAACCUUUUAAUCCCUUAACGUAAACAUCUUUCACGAGAUACGAAAAGAGUAAUUCUCGUUUCGACGUGAAAGAUUAAAAAGUGCGUUGUGGGUUAAUCGAAGAACGGUUGAACUUUUGUUUUAAAUAUUUAGAAAGGAAAGGAGGAAUAAUAAAAGUAUAUUACGUGUAUGCAAAUGAGGUUGAUGAAUUAUUAAUUAACAUGGAGAGAAAUAAAAAAGUAUACAGUAGUAUAAGCUCGGUUAAUACGAAAAAUAUUUAAUUUAAAUUUUUAGAUGUAUAGCUUGAGAUCCUAAUUUUUUUCAUUUUUUUUUUUUUUGUAAAUAUUUGAAAUUUGUUUCUUUAUUUAAAAUUAGUUUUGAAGCUUUUAAUCUGCGAUUUAUGGAUCCUUGAGAAAAUUUAAGACUAUAAUUUUAGAGUUUUUAACAUUUGAUCUACUAAAUUUUCGAAGGAAAUCCUCAAACUAAAUUUAAAAUUUGAGGAUUGUUAAUGAACAAUGUAUUUUAAAUAAUAUAUUAUGAUAUAUAUUUGAUGUACAUUUUGCAAAUUUAAAUUUUCGGAUCUUAGAAUAAAAUAAAUAAAAUAAAUACCACUGUAUUAAUAUUUUUUUUUUUUUUGCAGAAAAUAGCUCUUUAUAUUUUUCUUAUUAUUUAUCUUUAUUAUAAUUACUUAACAUUAACUAAUUAAUGAUAAAUUAUAUUAUGUUUUUAUAUUUUAAAUAAAAACUUUAGAAUUAUAUUUUAAUCGGAAAUUAUACAAAAGUUCUAUUAAAGAUUUAUAAAGAAUAUUAUUGGAAAUAUUGAAGUGUAUCAUAAAAGUAUUAUAUGGCACAUACACGGAAUGAAUUAUUAAUCGUACAAUGGAUUAAAAUAAUAUUGAAAUGCCUAAUAAAAUGUGAAAUCUUAUUUGGAUAUUUAAAAUUGCAAAAGAUAAAAAUAUAAUACACACGAAUUAUUAAUUAUUGUUUUUUAAAGUUAUAAAUCGAAUCAUAAAAGAUGUACAAGCUAUAAAUGAAAAUGCAAAAUAGUUAAAUUAACAAUGAAAAUAUAUCUUUGAAAGAUUGUAUAAUGAAUUAAUUAUUGUAUUAUAUAUAAUUAAUAUGCUCGACUCGUUGAAAAAAAUCUAAUAAUCUUAUACAUUGUUUUCUAAAAAAUAAAUAAAUAAAACAAAAUCGAUCAGUUUAAUUAAUUGGAAUAAAUUAUUUUAUCAUUAUAUUGUAUUAUUUGUAUAUGAAACCUUUUGCAGUUAUUUGAAAUGUCAAAUAAAACGAAUAUAACAUGAAUUGAUAUUAAAAAAAAAAAAAAUUUUUAAAUAAUAAGUAUGCAAAAUGUUUGAAAGAAAUAAUAAUAAAUUGUCGGCGAAAAACAUUGUAAAAUAUUCAUUGUGUACAAAAAUCGGCGUGAAUAAAGAGAUUUUUCGUGGAAAGAUUUAAAUUUCAAUGAACCAGCCGAAUUCCGCACAGUGAAUGAUAGAGUAUCGCGGUCGGUUCGAAAAAUUUGCUGGCACACACGUAGCUGUUGAAUAAAACAAGCCUUGUUUACCUGGUAAAAGUGCGCAUUUAUUGUUACCGGAUAAACAAUUAAAACGUGUUAAGUACAUAAACGAGAUAUAGCUGGAUAAACGCGUAUAAUGCAUAUUUUUAUCGAAAUAAUGGAAAUAAUGAAAAUCUCUUUCUGUUAUAAAGAAUGCUUAUAAGUAGUACUGCAAAUACUAGAAAGCUUUAUCAAUGCGUAAUUAUACUAUCGAUAGAAAAUCUGUAUUCUGUAAAUAAAAUUUUGAUUUUCCAACAGUUAAUAUUAUUUUUAGAGAAAAGUAUUUAUGAAAAUCAAAAUUAUUAUUUUUAAUGCGUAUUUAUUGAUUUUAUUAUUUCAAUGUUCAAUUUUUACUUAUUAUUAUAAACGGUUGAAAGAAUUAUUGAUAAUUUAUAUCACUGUAGGAAAUAUGUUAUAUUUACCGCUUAUCGUACGAAAUUUAAUUUCUUCGUUUAUUCAUUAAUAAUUAGACUGCGAAUUUUCGUGCAAAUAUUUUUCACAUAACGUAUAUUUCAUUAAUAACAUAUACAUAUAUAUAUAUCUCCCUUUUUUUUUCUCUUUUUUUUUCCAACAAGAAUACAAAAACAACACAUCCCAUGUGUUAUUAUUAUUUUAAACGGUAAAAGGCUAUAUGUGGUAAUCGUAUUGAUUGAUUCACGGUUGAAAGAAAAUUGAUUGUUUCUGGAUUAUAAAAUGGCAUGGUUAAUGAAAGCAGGAACGUCCUGAAACUUGUCUGCUCCAACAGUCUGGAAAUGGCAGCGUGGUAACCGUGUUACCGGCCGCAAAGUCAUAAGACUCCUCGGGUGCUGUGAACAUUGUUUCCUCGCCGACCACGUGGAGGAAAUUCCAUCCGGUUGAAACGUGUCCGUGAUCACCAAGUUGCUAUCGUGGGACUGAUCACAGAAUGUCUUCUACGAUGGAGUUCUGUUAUAAUGAACACACAGAGCUUGGAACAAAUGACUUUCAUUAUGGACCUUUUAAUUUGAGCAAAUAUUGGAUAUACGUAGACUGUGAAUUUUUUAUGCAAAUAUAUAUCUUUUUGAUGAGGAUUUAUUAGCUGAGUAAGUAUAAUUUCAGAUCCAGUUUCUAGCUGAACUGAAGAGACCUCCCAGAUAACAGUCUGCCCAUAGAGGGUGUCAUCGUCGUCGUCGUCGUCAUAGGUGCGGCGAAACGAGGCUUCUAUCUUUUUUUCCACGUGCAACUUCCGCCCAGGAAAAAAAAACUCAAGUUCGUGUAGGUGGCGACCGAAUGGAGGCAGCCUUCUGAAGAUUGCAAAGGCAAUUUCCGCCGACAAUGUGGUCCACUUUAUUCCACGCAUGGUGCGUACCCUCACUCUCGCCACUCGAGGGUCGAGAGGCAGAAAGACGAAGGGAGUUCAGCCUCUUUUAUUUUUCGGAUAUGCCCUUCGUCCUGCAAAAGAGGAGCCUCUUGUGCUGCCAAGGAAAGGGAUUGAGGGGAUUGAAGGGGUCGAACGGAGAAUAAGAAAAAGAAGUGAUGUGUAUUGAAGCUGUUAAACGAGUCACGUUACUUUAAGGGUUGGUUUUUGCAUCGUUUUUUGUGAUUUUUUAUAAAUUUUAAAAAUAUUUUUUUAAGCGAAAGAAGAAAUCGGAUUUUUUAAUUUAAAAUCGGACGAAAAUAUAUGUGAUUCUAUAUCUUUUGAAAUUGAUCUUUAUCAUUCUGUCAAACGUUUAUUUACUCGUUAAUACUCGGAUAUAUCUGUUUAUUUUAUGUUCAAUAAUAAGUUUUGAACGAUGUUUCC
Molecule: long non-coding RNA, 11661 nt
Organism: Apis cerana (Asiatic honeybee)
Lineage: Eukaryota; Metazoa; Arthropoda; Insecta; Hymenoptera; Apidae
Source: RefSeq, a predicted model, not a curated record